CAAGUAAUCGCGGCUGCAAGUGCCGAAAGGCAGCAGGUGAGGAAAGUCCGGGCUUCACAGGGCAGGAUGCCAGAUAACGUCUGGUGGAGGUGACUCCAAGGAAAGUGCAACAGAAAUAUACCGCCACAGUGUGAGACGACGCAGGACAUGGUCCGUGCACGGCUCUUUGUGGUAAGGGUGGAAAGGUGGUGUAAGAGACCACCGCUUUGCUGGUAACAGCAAGGGUCCCUGUAAACCCCAUCCGAAGCAAGACCGAAUCGAAACGUAUGUGGCCCGCUAGUUUCAGGUUGGUCGCUUGAGGCGGCUGGUGACAGUCGUCCUAGAUAGAUGAUUACUCAAGACAUAACCCGGCUCAUCGUCUUGCUCCU
RNAcentral lists this RNase P RNA (368 nucleotides) under pig gut metagenome. RNAcentral describes it as "Bacterial RNase P class A". It matches the Rfam family "Bacterial RNase P class A". Rfam says of the family: Ribonuclease P (RNase P) is a ubiquitous endoribonuclease, found in archaea, bacteria and eukarya as well as chloroplasts and mitochondria. Its best characterised activity is the generation of mature 5'-ends of tRNAs by cleaving the 5'-leader elements of precursor-tRNAs. Cellular RNase Ps are ribonucleoproteins. The record is from RNAcentral.